CUGGAGGACCGAACCGACUAAUGUUGAAAAAUUAGCGGAUGACCUGUGGCUGGGGGUGAAAGGCCAAUCAAACCGGGAGAUAGCUGGUUCUCCCCGAAAGCUAUUUAGGUAGCGCCUCGUGAAUUCAUCUCCGGGGGUAGAGCACUGUUUCGGCUAGGGGGCCAUCCCGGCUUACCAACCCGAUGCAAACUGCGAAUACCGGAGAAUGUUAUCACGGGAGACACACGGCGGGUGCUAAUGUCCGUCGUGAAGAGGGAAACAACCCAGACCGCCAGCUAAGGUCCCAAAGUCAUGGUUAAGUGGGAAACGAUGUGGGAAGGCCCAGACAGCCAGGAUGUUGGCUUAGAAGCAGCCAUCAUUUAAAGAAAGCGUAAUAGCUCACUGGUCGAGUCGGCCUGCGCGGAAGAUGUAACGGGGCUAAACCAUGCACCGAAGCUGCGGCAGCGACACCGUGUGUUGUUGGGUAGGGGAGCGUUCUGUAAGCCUGUGAAGGUGUGCUGUGAGGCAUGCUGGAGGUAUCAGAAGUGCGAAUGCUGACAUAAGUAACGAUAAAGCGGGUGAAAAGCCCGCUCGCCGGAAGACCAAGGGUUCCUGUCCAACGUUAAUCGGGGCAGGGUGAGUCGACCCCUAAGGCGAGGCCGAAAGGCGUAGUCGAUGGGAAACGGGUUAAUAUUCCCGUACUUGGUGUUACUGCGAAGGGGGGACGGAGAAGGCUAUGUUGGCCGGGCGACGGUUGUCCCGGUUUAAGCGUGUAGGUAUGUGUUCCAGGUAAAUCCGGUUCACUUUAACACUGAGGCGUGACGACGAGGCACUACGGUGCUGAAGCAACAAAUGCCCUGCUUCCAGGAAAAGCCUCUAAGCAUCAGGUAACAUCAAAUCGUACCCCAAACCGACACAGGUGGUCAGGUAGAGAAUACCAAGGCGCUUGAGAGAACUCG
RNAcentral lists this ribosomal RNA (938 nucleotides) under Salmonella enterica. RNAcentral's name for it is "partial 23S ribosomal RNA". It matches the Rfam family "Bacterial large subunit ribosomal RNA", at positions 766 to 1702 of the family's 2925-position model. The record is from RNAcentral. Lineage: Bacteria; Pseudomonadati; Pseudomonadota; Gammaproteobacteria; Enterobacterales; Enterobacteriaceae.